Molecule: ribosomal RNA, 139 nt
Filed under: uncultured eukaryote
Lineage: Eukaryota
Description: partial 18S ribosomal RNA
Rfam family: Eukaryotic small subunit ribosomal RNA
Source: RNAcentral
UGGUGAAGUGAUUUGUCUGGUUAAUUCCGAUAACGAACGAGACCUUAACCUGCUAACUGGUUUGCUCAACGUUCGCGUUGGCCAACACUUCUUAGAGGGACUGACUAUGUUUAAUAGUCGGAAGUUUGAGGCAAUAACA